AGCAGCCGCGGUAAUUCCAGCUCCAAUAGCGUAUAUUAAAGUUGUUGCAGUUAAAAAGCUCGUAGUUGAAUUUCGGGAUUAAGGAAUCGGUCAUGCCUCGGUAUGUACUGGUUUUAUUGGUUCUCACCUUCUAAAGAACCAUGAUGUCAUUCAUUUGAUGUUAUGGGGAAUUAGGACUGUUACCUUGAAAAAUUAGAGUGUUUAAAGCAGGCUUACGCUUGAAUACAUUAGCAUGGAAUAAUGAAAUAGGACAUCAGAUUCUAUUUUGUUGGUUUCUAGGAUCGAUGUAAUGAUUAAUAGGGAUAGUUGGGGGCAUUAGUAUUCAAUUGUCAGAGGUGAAAUUCUUGGAUUUAUUGAAGACUAACUACUGCGAAAGCAUUUGCCAAGGAUGUUUUCAUUAAUCAAGAACGAAAGUUAGGGGAUCGAAGACGAUCAGAUACCGUCGUAGUCUUAACCAUAAACUAUGCCGACUAGGGAUCGGAUGAUGUUUAUUUUUAGUGACUCAUUCCGG
This 511-nucleotide unclassified non-coding RNA is filed under the name uncultured Glomus. Its description in RNAcentral is "SSU rRNA". It matches the Rfam family "Eukaryotic small subunit ribosomal RNA", at positions 569 to 1084 of the family's 1831-position model. Lineage: Eukaryota; Fungi; Glomeromycota; Glomeromycetes; Glomerales; Glomeraceae. The record is from RNAcentral.